AUGCCCAGCCCUAAACUCUGAUAGUCCGGCUACACCCGACUAUCCGCCUGGGUACUACAAGCCCAAGCUUUAAACCCAAAGGACUUGGCGGUGCUUAAGAUCCACCUAGAGGAGCCUGUUCUAUAACCGAUGACCCCCGUUCAACCUCACCCUCCCUUGUUUUUACCGUCUGUAUACCGCCGUCGUCAGCCUACCCUGUGAGGGAUUAGUAGUCAGCAGGAUUGUUACACCCCUAAACGUCAGGUCGAGGUGCAGCGUAUGAGAGGGAAAGAAAUGGGCUACAUUUCCUUAUGCAGGAAAUACGAAUAAUGAUAUGAAAUAAACAUAUUGAAGGAGGAUUUAGCAGUAAAUGAGAAACAGAGCGUCUCAUUGAAAUUGGCCCUAAAGCACGCACACACCGCCCGUCACUCUCUCCGAAACAUAAUUCUCUUUAUAGAUAAACACCUAAAAAAUACAAGGGGAGGCAAGUCGUAACAUGGUAAGUGUACCGGAAGGUGCACUUGGA
RNAcentral lists this ribosomal RNA (505 nucleotides) under Myxus elongatus (sand grey mullet). Its description in RNAcentral is "partial 12S ribosomal RNA". It matches the Rfam family "Bacterial small subunit ribosomal RNA", at positions 792 to 1522 of the family's 1533-position model. Lineage: Eukaryota; Metazoa; Chordata; Actinopteri; Mugiliformes; Mugilidae. The record is from RNAcentral.